Molecule: non-coding RNA, 73 nt
Organism: Malaclemys terrapin pileata
Lineage: Eukaryota; Metazoa; Chordata; Testudines; Emydidae
Source: the annotation of a RefSeq genome assembly
ACCUGGCUAGCUCAGUUCGUAGAGCCUCAGACUUCUAAUCUGCCGGUCCAGGGUUCAAGUCCCUGGUCAGGUG